Molecule: long non-coding RNA, 468 nt
Organism: Gasterosteus aculeatus aculeatus (three-spined stickleback)
Lineage: Eukaryota; Metazoa; Chordata; Actinopteri; Perciformes; Gasterosteidae
Source: Ensembl
CUGACAGGACUAUGAAUCUCGUUGUGAUGGCGGUUGAAAUUGAUUGAUGGAACUGGAGCAGAGUCCUGUUUGGCCGACGGCAAGGGAAGAAUUGAGGUGAAACUGCCUGUGAGGUAAUCUCGCCCCGGGGAAGCACGGUCAGAACUUACUUCACGUGGACCAGAGUACGCGGAGAACAGAAGAGGAGCGGUCGCAGGUGCAAAGUAACCACGACGACGGACGGGAGUGACCAGCAGUUCAAGAGGAGGCGUCUGCAGCUGUCCCGUCCUUCCUUCAGUGUAUGUUCUUCUACGCAAAGCAGCGCCGCGCUAGAAGCCAAAUCUACAACCAGGAGCCAAGACGUCCCCUCCACAUAUUAUCCUGUUUGGCACCGGUACAAAAGCAGCUUAGGACGCAGCUUGGGAAUACGGAGAUAGAUAAACACGAGAAAAAAGGAUGAUGGAGCUGAGCCAAAUGGGUGGAGAAGAG